RNAcentral lists this long non-coding RNA (730 nucleotides) under Brassica napus (rape). RNAcentral's name for it is "long non-coding RNA (BNAP_LNC011990)". The record is from RNAcentral. Lineage: Eukaryota; Viridiplantae; Streptophyta; Magnoliopsida; Brassicales; Brassicaceae.
GGUCUUAUCUCUACAAAAAAAUAUCUAAAAUAGUUUUAGUUUAGCAAAAAAACAAAUUUAAAAUAGUUUUGGCCUCGUUAACGUUUUAAAAAAUAUACAAGUAUAAGGUCCAAAAUUUUGCCAAAAAUAUACACGCAACUUUAAGUACAGUCAGCCCUCCUUGCCGAAGCUCUAGCUAUCAAAACUGUCCUCAAUUAUGCGGCUACACCAAAAUCUGGUUUAUAUCAGAUUUUGUAGGACUCAUCAGAGCUAUCAAUUCGAUCUCAAAACCGAAGAACAUCUACGGAGUCUUUGCGGAUAUCAAACUUCCAUCGUCAUACUUCACUUUCUGUUUUUUUCCUUUAUACUUAGGGAACAAAAUAGGCCUGCUGGUUCUUUGGUAAACUUAUCUCUUUGUAAUCCGAAUGCUUCUUGGACUUUGGCCUGAUUAUCUAAUAUUAAGAAUUGUUGUUAAAAAAAAAUGUUCAGAAUUUUAUAGUUAUUCAAAAUAUUUCAUGUAUACAUCAAAUAGUUUAGAUGUUUUUUUGGUGUAAGUUCAGAUGUUAACAGUUACUAUAUUUUUUGUUUGAGAAAAUUUUUUGAUAGAGAAUCAUGAAUCGAAGUUCGACUUCCAUGGAAGUCUUCUACGUUAGUUUUUGUAAAUGUGUUAAGUAACUUUAAGAUAUGUUUAUUUAAUUUUCAAAAGUGUUGAGUAACUUCAAGAAUAUCAAGUAACAUGGUUUAAUGUGAC